This is a long non-coding RNA of Lotus japonicus, 1689 nucleotides long. RefSeq lists it as uncharacterized. The transcript has 5 exons. The record is from RefSeq and is a predicted model, not a curated record. Lineage: Eukaryota; Viridiplantae; Streptophyta; Magnoliopsida; Fabales; Fabaceae.
CUUUACCUCUCACGGUUCAAUGCUUGCGCACCGUGGUUCCUUGCCGACUUGCCGUCAGUGGGGGUGCCUGAUCGACGACGCUCUCUUGGAGUUCAAGGACAUCUGUUUCUUCUCAGUACUCGAUUUCAUGCUCAGGUUCACGUUUUCUCUACCGCUCGCUCUCGCUCUCGCUCUCGCUCUCAGACUCGUGCUCCAGAAGUCUUCCUUCGAAAUCUUCAACGGUAAUUUUUCAAUUUAUCCAAUAUCCUGUAAAUAAUCUUUCUAGUGCUUGUAUAUUUUUCUGGAAUGAUGGAAAAGGAAAUGGCUCUCGUGAGAUUUCUUCUUGCUUUGCUUUCACACUUUUGAGUUUAUUCUCAUUACUGUCUUAUAUUAGAGCCAAAUCACUAGUUAAGCAUAGGUCAAUGUCUAGUAUCCUAGGCUUUCCUCUGUUCUGUUUUGUGGCUUGCUGAAGAUGGGUGGUUGUCCCUUAUAGUUUUGUAAGGGGCUGUGGACUUUAUAAUUGUGUUGUUUUGAAAUAGUGGUUUGUUGUUUUUUGCUGUGCUGAGGGACAAAGAAAUUUCUAUUCUUGAAGGUUUUGUUUCUGGAAGAGAGUCUUGUGGGUUUCUAGUUGGCUAAGGCCUUUGUUUUGUGUUUUUCCUUUUCUUCCUUUUGUGCUGUGCUUUGUGAAUUUUCAAGUUGCAGGCUAGCCACUAAGGGCAUAUUGGUGUGAGGUUGGGUGCCAAAUAUGCGGGGUCUGUCCAAGUUGGUUCUUAUCACAUUUUAUCUGCGUGCUCUACUACGGCUGGAUCUCGCCACAGUGCCUACUUGCAUAUCUUAUUUGCCAUCUUGUGCACUGAGGAUUCCUUCCAACCUUUUCAAUACAUUCAUGCUACAAUGUCCGUGGAUCCAUUAUGAUCACUGUGCUGUCAAGUAAAGGUUUCUCUUAUGUUUGAUUUUGCAUGAUAUAAUUAGGCAAGCAUGAGCCUGGCCUUUUCUUAUUCUGAAUAAGGCUAAUCUUUGGAAGAGUUAAAAUCCUCUGAAGGCCUUCAAUCAGCUUCAAGAUGCUGCAAAGACAAGCAUCAUGUAUAGGUUGUUACAAGGAUAUGUUAAUAAAGCUGACAAAACUAGUGUAGUAGCUUGGGAAGGAACUCGACAAAGGACAAGUAGAGGGAAGGACUUUGAAGGAAGUAUUGAGACCAAUUGAUGACGGGUCUAAUUAAUCUGAAACUCCCAACAAAGAAGUUCUAGCAACUCCCAACAAAGCACCAGCGGCAACCCCACUAGCUAUGAAGAAUUCAGAAUUGCUAACCCAGAUAAAUCUUGCUCUAAAAGAUCUAUAAAAGACAAAAGAACAAUUGAGAAGCUAAAAGAAGCACAAAGAGUAACUAAGGAAGCAAAUGAGAAACUUAUGGAGGCAUUGGUGGCUAAAAAACGGGUUGAGGAAGAUUCUUAAAUUGAGAAGCUCCGCAGUUUUGAAUCCGGACAUGCUGGAAUUGAAGCUAUUCAAAAGAUGGAAGAGGAUGGUAAAAAGAGCUUUGAAGGUGUAAGGAACCAGCAUGCUUACUAUGUGGCUUGAAAAUAAGUAACUUUUUUAGGGAAACUCUAAGUAAUUUUGGUAUUUUUUGUAUAGUUGUGAUCUUUAUGAAUUACAUGAAGCUUGUUGUUAAUGAAGAGUUGAUUCUUGAUUAAUGUUAUUUUCAUAUUUUGUUA